Long non-coding RNA from Manduca sexta (tobacco hornworm), 4826 nucleotides. RefSeq lists it as uncharacterized. The record is from RefSeq and is a predicted model, not a curated record. The transcript has 2 exons. NCBI's taxonomy places the organism in Eukaryota, Metazoa, Arthropoda, Insecta, Lepidoptera, Sphingidae.
UGUCACGGCCGAGCCACCUGAAUGGGUAUGGACCGGGCAUAAGGCGCAAAUUCGCGCCAACGCGAUACCGGAGCACUCUCGUUUUCAUUGCGUUACGUCAUUAGUGCAAGUUACAUUGGAUUAUCGCGCGCACGUUGAGCGCAAACUAUACUUAUACCAUUAAUCAUGGACUAACACAACGCUCGGUGCGUUGAGCGACUGGCGGGCGGCGCGGCAACGCAGCGCGAGGCGCCAUCUUCUCCGUCUUGCCGCUGCUGGUAUCUAUGACGUGUGCCGUGCAUCCAUCCACACUUUUUAUCAGGAGCAGUGGUAUGCCAGAAUCAUGAAGAAAAGGUGUGAAUGCUGGAUCAUCAUUGAUCUUGCCAAGGAAGUAGAGAGCGAGAGAAAGCGCGAAGGACAGAAGUUCGUCACAUGUACGAAUAGGACUUAAGUACAUUAAUUUAAAGUAAAAACAAAUAAGAUGUUUAUAGAACCAUAGCCCUUUAAGUGGAAACCAUAAAUUGAUUAAUUCACCAUCUGGCCCAUUUGGCCUCCACCACACCACUGUUAACUAACGCCUGUAGAAUUUACGUACAGAUGUGUAGACUUAGAAACCAGUGGUGUCCUGGGUCCAAACACAAGUCGACAUACCAUCAUUUGUGCAAGGUUUUUAAAUUCGGAAAAAUACAGGUCCGUUAAGGCCAUAAUGUCGUGCCAUCAUGAAUGACUGGAAAGAAAUCGUUCAGCAAAGCGUAGAUGCACUAGUUUCGCCACUGACUAUCCCCUUGGAAGCAAAAACAUAUGAUGUACACAAAUGUCUUAUCUACAUUAAAAAUGCGAAAGUUUAUGAACAUGUUCGUUAUAAAGAAAAAAAAACAGAUGAACGUAAUUGAAUUAAAAUUUAGCACACAUAUAGAACAUGUCUUUGAUUAUCAUAUAGGCGUCUUUUUAUCACGGUCUCUAGCUGCCGUAGGACAUUAUUAAUUUAACUUGUGGUUUAAAUAGAUGUCGCUGGCGUCGUAUAGAUGGCGCUUUGGACUGGUUCAGUUGUUGAGGGAUUUUGUAAAGACUAAGGCUUUUAAAGCGGGGAGCAGAACCUAGUGUUACUAAUAUUAUAAAUGCGAAAGUCUGUGAGGAUGGAUGUAUAUUUGUUCCUGUUCCACCAAAAAACUACUGAACGGAUUUGGACGAAACUUUACAAUAAUAUUGGUUAUACAUCAGAAUAACACAUAGGCUACAAUUUAUAAUGAUUUGUGUAAUUUGGUCAAAAUGUAACGAUACACAUCAAGCAAUUCGGAAAAAAAAUAUCCCGGAAAACUCCUUCAGGCGAGCGAAGCCGCGAGCAAAAGCUAGUGUUACAUAAAAUUAUGAAAAUCUAUAGGUUCAUUUUCUAACCUCUACUGAGCUUUGACGUACUAACUCAAAUACUAACUAGACAACACUUUAUAAUCGUGAGCUAAUUUAAAAAUUUAAAUAGCCAUUAGACUCUCUAGUUAUGAUCAUAAAAACGCUUCAAACGUAUUAACAUUAACAAACCGGUAAUAUGUUUUUAGCUUACGAAAAUAAAUAUAUAAUUGUAUAGGUUUUAAAAUAUACAGGUAAUAAAUUAUGCAAAGUCUAUUAAUAUAUACCAGGUCGAGAAAAAUAAAAAGCCUUGCUAUGUUGUGGUAAAAUAUGGAACUAAUCUCUUAUAGGUUUUUUAUUUGCCUGGUCAGGCUAUCAGUGGCGAAAUGUGAUUUUUUUGGAAAAGGAACCCGACCUAAUGUAUACAGAUACUAAUAAGCAUGAAUGCGGUCUGCAAAUCGUUCUAAUAAUAUGAUUCUAUAUGAAGGGAAGCCGGUAGGAAUCGGGUAAUAUGGGCCCUUCGAUACCACAGACUAUAGAAAAUUUAAUGCGGUAUCAACUAUUCAUUGAAAUGAAGAUUUUGCAAUCUAAACAGUCUGAUAUUAAAAUACUUAAUAAUAAGAUGUUUUGUAUUGUUAUAAAGGUUAACAAAUACAAUAUCGGCUUCAUUAGUCAUUAUAAAUUUAAUUUAAACCUCGUGGCAUGUUUGUAAAUUGCUAAUAAUUAUGUGUUUCAAGUAUUCCAUGUCCGUAUCAUUUCGCGAAUAAAAUAUUAUGUUAAAUAUAUCGUAUUAGGUUCUUGUUGGGACCUAUUUCUUAACAAACUUUUAGUCAACUAAAUACAUCUCUGCACAGUAGUAAAGCAAUGGCUUACAGUAACCCGGAAGUACUUAACUAACUACCACGCGUCAAGCAAUUGAAAGAAAUAAAAUUUAACAUAAUGAUUACGAUAAUAUACGUUGGCUUUAAAAAUAGAUAAUCUCGUGAGUUGCGGCUUCAAAGAGCUUAGGUUAAGCUUCGUUAACCCAAAAUAAAUAUGUGAUGUUUUGGGCUACCUUUCCGUUUUUCUUUGAAUAAUACUUAAUUUAAUAUUGGCUGCUGAAAACUAUGUUUUGUUUUAAAACAUUUUAAGAACUAAAAUAUAUCAUGUAGGGACCGCUCUACCGACUCUUCAUGGUCUUAUAUUUGAUUAAAAUAUAUUGAGCUAAAUUAAAAUUACUUGUAAUAAUUUCUAUUUUCAAUUUAUAACAUUUUGUAUAAUUGUAAAAUGUAGGAAGAUAUUGUAACGUUGGACCGUGUUGGACGACCAACAACUCAGUCCGCCUCUUAACCAUGAAAGCUGCACAUUCUUCGAAACGUCGGGAGAAAAUCAUAAUACAAAAAACGGAAUAAACUCCGAAAUAGUUUUAUUCCGAUAACGUUAUUUUUAAAAAAAUAACUUAAAAGUACCUUUAUUUACAAUUGCAGUAUGGUGGCGGAUAUAUUUGCCAAAAGAAAGUUGUCUUUCAAAAGUUCUCUUAAAAUAUGCGAAUAUAGUGAGGGAAGGACUUAAUGGAAUAGUUAUUAAGAUAGGUUUUUACUAAGGUCUUAUUUUUGUAAUGCCAAAAGCUGAAAAUAUUAUUUAAACCAAUUAUUGCGUGGUCUCUAAGAGCAUCUUAAGACUUUCUCGAUAUAGGAAUAGUCUUUAUUACAAAAGGACCAAAUCAUAGAACGAAGUACAAAGUACGUUACAGAGUACAAAGAACAUGGAUAGUUCAUAAAUAAAGGCCAACUUUCCAAUGAGAUUACCCAUCGGAAUUAGGGCACAUGUGACUGCAUCGAUACUAUUAGGGUCAAUUAAUCGAUCAGAAAUCGAUCUAUCGAAAUCCGCAAUUAAUUCUAACAAUUAAUAUUCUAUGUGAACCGUGGAAGCUGUAAUGUUCGUUUUAAAAUUAACAAAUACAUAAAUUCACGUCUUAACCACCCAAGGGGUAGGCAGAGGGAGGACAGUGCAUCAAUGGUUAACCAAGCAUAUUUCUCUUCUCUAAUCGCCUGAUAUGGUAUUAGUUAUAAAAGUGGAAUACUCAAGUGUAUUUUAUUCGAAUCGAAAAUCUUGUAUCGAUUUUAAUUGGACGAUUUAGAAAUGGAAACCAAAAUAUCACAGACCGCAGUUUGAACUCUAACGCUGCCGUUAGACUAAUGAUGGAAUAAAUCAUAUUAAAGAUACAAUUGUAUACGAUAGAAUCAAGUCUAGUUACUACCUAACUAGGUUUGUGUACAGAGUGUAUAUUUAAGACAGGCUGGAUCUGGAACGUACCAAUUGAGAGGUCCAAAUAGAUGUUUAAAUUACUAUAAAAAAAAUGAAAAGCCAUUCUCUUAGGGUCAAAAACGUCGAAAUGCACCAUCACGCAGGGUUGUCAUCGAAAGAAAGAAGAAAGAAAAACGAAUAAUCCGAGAUUCCGGCCUAUGUAGCUGAAAGUCUCAAUGAGUCUUCAACUUUAUCUUCCUCACAAGGGAUGAAAUACCAUUAUUGUCCUAGUUUGUGCGAACGCCUGGUAACCCGACCACAUAUAUUUUAUGAACUGUAGACAUUUGUUAUGUUGUUAAAGCAAGGAGACAACAUAAUUCAACGUAAUACCGGCGGUAGAUCAUCCGUCAUAAAAAAAAACUACAUCAGAGUAAAGCCCGCGACUCCCACGUCAUGGAGAUCCGUAAAUUAUAAUUUUGGUUGUCACAACACAGUCCAGAAACGAAAGCCAUGCGUCAUUUUUGUAAAAAAAUAUUAAUAUCUUUCGAAUCUGUGAAUAUUUUAUGGGCGAAAUACCUUCUCGUUAUAUAGUCGCACUGUGUUCAUAAGUUUGCUAUAGGAUCCCAGGUCCUGAUGCUUACUCAGGCAAUCAGAAAGUAUUUAGUUUUCUAUUUAAUUAUACCGUUUACAAGUCAUCAUAGUUUGUUGAUCCGUUGACACUUCUAUUACCGCCACACAAUAAAACUUACGGCCAAUUUCAAUAAACUAUCCGAAUCUCUAUCCUAGAAUCAAUAGCGGUGGCCAAAGGUUCAUAUAACCCGAUUCCUGCCGGCUUCUCUUUCUUAAUUUACAUAAAAUCUAAUUAUCAUUACAACGAUUUGCAGUCACUAUUUAUGCAUGUUAGUACUUAACUAUAAUAUGUUGUGUUGGGUUUCCUUUCGGAAAAUUGCACCCUUCGCCCCGGAUCAAUAGUAAGAGUAGACAUAAAAAAGUCAUCCUAAAGAAUGUUGAACAAACCUAUUUUUAUGGGCCAUUUUGCGGUCGAUAUGAAAGCAAUUUGGAUCGUUCCUUUUAAAAAUGAAUAAUGGCAUGAAGAAAUGGUACAUAAUAAUUCUCCGGUAGCCUGGUAAGUCUGCAAAAAAAUACACUUACCUUAGACAACUAGAAUGUCUGGCUGUCCAUGACAUAUUCUCAGAUAGUUCUUGAAGCCCCAAUACUGGAAACUCCGCCGUGACAUGUCCAAAUGUACCUGAAAUACAUACAAAUCGUUCGUAAAA